AUGCGAGCAUGAGUCGCUGGUGUAAAGAAACUACUACUUUAGCUAGUGCUUUUUACUUGCUCGCAGAAAAACGUGCUUUGCCCAAGCAUAACCCAAAUUUAAAAAACCCGAGUUUGCGGUGCAUAUUAUUUUCGUGAAGCUGACAGUU
Small nucleolar RNA from Drosophila melanogaster (fruit fly), 148 nucleotides. NCBI's taxonomy places the organism in Eukaryota, Metazoa, Arthropoda, Insecta, Diptera, Drosophilidae. The record is from Ensembl.